UACCCGAGCCCGUAUUUGAAUCCUGGCUCCGAGAUACCGGCUACCUCGAAAUUCUCGAUCAACGGACUACCGAUCUCCACCGCCACUCUUCCACCGCCACCACAGCCGCCGCCUCUGCUUCCUCUUCCGACGCUGCUGCUGUUACUAAUUCUGCCGCCGCCGCAGUUUCAAUCUCCAACGGGGUCUUUGUUCAGAUAUUUUCAUAUCUUGGAACCUUACUGUCGCUUUUUACGCUUAAUCCGUUUGCGAAGCUCACGUCGGAUGAUUUUUCCGGUGAUACGCCGUCGUGGACUCGACUGUUCGUCGGGUCGUUGGAUUCAUACUCGUUUCCUUCGUCGCCUUCUCAGGCUCGGCUUAGAGUCCACGAGAAUGUGAAACGCUAUGCCCGCAAUUAUACCUCUCUCUUCCUCCUCUUCUUCGCUUGCUCUCUGUAUGCUCUCUCUCUCUCUCUACACAUACACACACACAUACACAUAUACACACACAUUAUGUAUGUAUAUUUGUGUGUCUUGACUUUUUAAGCAUGUAUGUGGACAUUGACAAGUAUAUGUUAUCGAUUGUAAUUUGUACUAUUAAUAAUGGUUAAAAUUUGUGCUUGUGCGAUAAGUUGAAUAUUGGAUUUGUUUUAAGCAGUACACCUGAAACCGGUCCGAACGAAUUAGAAGGAAUAUAGAGAAUUCAUAUAACUGACUCCAACUAGUUUAGAAUUGAGUUGUUGGUUGAUUGAUCGAUUGACUUUGUAUGAGAAGUUUGACGUUGUUAGGCUCUGAGAGCUAAAUGAGGCUCACUCGGAGGAUAGUGGAUUUAGAUAGUUCUUUUUGAUAAGGAUUUGGAUAGUUCUUAAUUUAAGUUAUAAAGCACUCUACGUAAUUUCUUUCUUCCUCAAGAAUAUAUCAUUUGCAUGACAUAAAGAACAUGUAUACGGUUUUUGGUAUAUAUUUAUAUGUGCCAAUUGAAAUUUGAAAGCUGAAGCAAUUGUAAUCUAAAAGCUAGGGUUUCACAUAGGACAAAGUUUCAGUUAUUGGGUGAUAUGUUCAAGCCCUUUAGAUUUCAGAGUACUUGUCAAACAAAAAAGAUGUUAAGGGCUUGGAGAUUUGAAGAUAGUACUUGGUCCAAAUUUAGCAAAUAUUAUGUAGCUGCAGGAUUUAAUUUCUGUUGCUUGGUUUCUUGAUUUUAGUGCAAUUUGAUUGUUAGUUGAAUGUUGAUAAAUUUGGGUUACAGGUACCAGAAGCUGCUUGCGCUUGUAGGGUUGAUAUUAUGUUUGGCGCUUUGGGAUGUAUUAAAGUUAUGUGGAGAUCGUUGGGGAUUAGAGCAGCGCCCUGUAAUCAGACAAAGCUUGAUUCGCAUUGCUCAGUGUGGUGAGUCGAUAUUCUUUCGUGCUUCCCCCCCCCCCCCCCCCCCCCGACCAAAAAAAAAAAAGAAAGAAAGAGGAAAAAAUGGGGUGCCACUCUCUUAAAUGAUUCAGGUCCCAGCAUUCUAUCUGUGUAUAUUGGUGAUGAAUAAUAUGAUCGUAGCUUUGACUGUUUUAUCAUAUGGCUUGUGAUUUAUCCUAUGUGUUAACUGAUCCUGAUCUUUAAGCUUCUCUUCAACCUUUUGAAUAUUGUCCAUAUCUGUUUUCCUUCUACCAAAUGGCAAACCGUACUCCUCUAAACUGGAGGCUCUUAUGCCAAAUUUUGGUUGAGAUAAAAUGGUGUUCCAGAGGCAUUGCAUUUGCAAUGUAAUGGAUGCUCUUAAGACCUUUCACCAAGAUCACUAGAAGUCAGGAUCAAGGAAAAAUAAUCCAACCACUAAGCUAAAAGUAUGUAAUGAGAUGGUACUACGUAAUUGAUCCAGAUGUGAGCAAUUAACUAACGAGUCCAUCAAGGGGAGCAGGGAUAUAUGGUUGGUCUUCUCCAAACCUGUUCUAUCUUGCUCCAAAAGUAUCCUUUAACUGGAAAUUUUUGCGAGAAUGUUAAUUCAAGUAAAAUGUCU
Molecule: long non-coding RNA, 1971 nt
Filed under: Nicotiana tabacum (common tobacco)
Lineage: Eukaryota; Viridiplantae; Streptophyta; Magnoliopsida; Solanales; Solanaceae
Description: long non-coding RNA (NTAB_LNC011034)
Source: RNAcentral